RNAcentral lists this ribosomal RNA (539 nucleotides) under uncultured bacterium. RNAcentral describes it as "bacterial SSU rRNA". It matches the Rfam family "Bacterial small subunit ribosomal RNA", at positions 775 to 1314 of the family's 1533-position model. The record is from RNAcentral.
AGUCAAUAGAUACCCCGGUAGUCCAUGCCGUAAACGAUGAUUGCUAGGUGUGGGGGGUCUGACCCCUUCCGUGCCGGAGUUAAACACAAAUAAGCAAUCCACCUGGGGAGUACGGCCGCAAGGUUGAAACUCAAAGGAAUUGACGGGGGCCCGCACAAGCAGUGGAGUAUGUGGUUUAAUUCGAAGCAACGCGAAGAACCUUACCAGGUCUUGACAUCCACCGAAUCCUGUAGAGAUACGGGAGUGCCCUUCGGGGAACGGUGAGACAGGUGGUGCAUGGUUGUCGUCAGCUCGUGUCGUGAGAUGUUGGGUUAAGUCCCGCAACGAGCGCAACCCUUGUGAAUAGUUGCUACGAAAGAGCACUCUAUUCAGACCGCCGUUGACAAAACGGAGGAAGGUGGGGAUGACGUCAAAUCAUCAUGCCCCUUAUGACCUGGGCUACACACGUACUACAAUGGCCGUUAACAGAGGGAUGCAAUGCCGCGAGGUGGAGCGAACCCCUAAAAACGGUCUCAGUUCAGAUUGCAGGCUGAAACUCG